RNAcentral lists this ribosomal RNA (517 nucleotides) under uncultured Staphylococcus sp. Its description in RNAcentral is "partial 16S ribosomal RNA". The record is from RNAcentral. Lineage: Bacteria; Bacillati; Bacillota; Bacilli; Caryophanales; Staphylococcaceae.
CACGUAGUUAGCCGUGGCUUUCUGAUUAGGUACCGUCAAGACGUGCACAGUUACUUACACAUUUGUUCUUCCCUAAUAACAGAGUUUUACGAUCCGAAGACCUUCAUCACUCACGCGGCGUUGCUCCGUCAGGCUUUCGCCCAUUGCGGAAGAUUCCCUACUGCUGCCUCCCGUAGGAGUCUGGACCGUGUCUCAGCUCCAGUGUGGCCGAUCACCCUCUCAGGUCGGCUACGUAUCGUUGCCUUGGUAAGCCAUUACCCCACCAACUAGCUAAUACGGCGCGGGUCCAUCUAUAAGUGAUAGUAAAACCAUCUUUCACUUUAGAACCAUGCGGUUCUAAAUAUUAUCCGGCAUUAGCCCCGGUUUCCCGGAGUUAUUCCAGUCUUAUAGGUAGGUUACCCACGUGUUACUCACCCGUCCGCCGCUAACGUCAAAGGAGCAAGCUCCUUAUCUGUUCGCUCGACUUGCAUGUAUUAGGCACGCCGCCAGCGUUCAUCCUGAGCCAGGAUCAAACUCU